UACAGAGGGGGCAAGCGUUGUUCGGAAUUACUGGGCGUAAAGGGCGCGUAGGCGGCCUUCUAAGUCGAACGUGAAAUCCCCGGGCUCAACCCGGGAACUGCGUCCGAUACUGGAAGGCUUGAAUCCGGGAGAGGGAUGUGGAAUUCCAGGUGUAGCGGUGAAAUGCGUAGAUAUCGAGAGGAACACCUGCGGCGAAGGCGGGUUGCUGGGCUGACACUGACGCUGAGGCGCGAAAGCUAGGGGAGCGAACGGG
This 253-nucleotide ribosomal RNA is filed under the name uncultured bacterium. RNAcentral describes it as "partial 16S ribosomal RNA". It matches the Rfam family "Bacterial small subunit ribosomal RNA", at positions 524 to 776 of the family's 1533-position model. The record is from RNAcentral.